RNAcentral lists this ribosomal RNA (161 nucleotides) under Plasticicumulans acidivorans. Lineage: Bacteria; Pseudomonadati; Pseudomonadota; Gammaproteobacteria; Candidatus Competibacteraceae. The record is from RNAcentral.
CCUGGCGGCCAUGGCGGUGUGGAACCACCCGAUCCCAUCCCGAACUCGGACGUGAAACGCACCUGCGCCGAUGAUAGUGUGGGGCCUCCCCAUGUGAAAGUAGGGCACCGCCAGGCACCUUACACAACAAGCCCCUGACCCAUUACAACGGUCAGGGGCUU